Molecule: long non-coding RNA, 1201 nt
Filed under: Mus musculus (house mouse)
Lineage: Eukaryota; Metazoa; Chordata; Mammalia; Rodentia; Muridae
Description: lincRNA-EC109
Source: RNAcentral
UAGGAAAUCUUUAAGAGUUCAUCUUCUGAUGCCAAAUGUGGCCCACUCCAGUUCUACAAGCAAAUCUGACAGAAGAGAGCACCUGUGUCCACCAGCUCACACAUACAAGAUUCCUCCUGGUGGCUAAGGCUGUUUGUGUCCCUGGUUUGGGGCCAGUGAGACUUGACAAGGAACACUGAUGGGAAACAGUUGGCGGGAGGAUUCUUCACUUCUGAGCCGUAGCCCAAAUGGAGGUUUCAGGCUCCUGACGUCUCGUGUUCUUCCUCUCAGGUGACUUGCUUUCUACAUGCCUUAACUGUGCCCUCUGUUGUAUCUACUAUGAUAAACCAGUAGCAAGGACAUUACUGUCGUGAGAAAUGGAGAACAUAACAGACUAAGGUGAUGGAAGGAAAGAGUCUUGUCAACAUCUUGGCCUUGCAGUCUCCAGCUUCCACACUGUCAAGAAAUGAGUAUCUAUUGUUUAAUCAAAAAAGUGUUUUCUGCUCUUAAGCAAAAGGACAAUGCUGUACUUACCUUCCAGCUGUCCCCUUCUCUGCCCUCAGACUGUGACAAUCAUGUUUUGACCACAAGAACAAGAUGUAAGACCCAAGGAGAGAGGGGGAGAGGGAGGAUGGCUCAUGGACACCAAAAUACGGACAGAAGUAAUAAAUUGUUCUGUUCUACAAAACAAUAGAAUAGGUGUCCCCACAGUAACUGCUGCCAUAGUCCAUAAAAGUCACUAGAAGGGAGAUGUUUGUUGGCUUCGAACACAAAGCAACAAUGACAGAAAGAGGAACAGCUCUGAUUUGAUUAGUGCCUGUGGUACAGACACAUGUAUUGAAAUGUCACUUGACCUGCUGGUCCAGCUCAGUGAGAGCCCAGUGCUUUUUACUUGAAGUCUGGAAAGCUGGCCGAUUUGUAUUGUUGACAAUGUUGGGGACAAAGAGUAGAUGAUGAAGAAUUAAAGACGUGGUUGCAUCAGAAUUGUAGUACUUGGAGACUUGUUAUUCCCUCUGAGUGUCCUACUUCCCUGCGGGGGUCUCGGUCCACCAUGGCCCACAAAGUGAUGUGGGAGGCAAGAAGGUAGUAAGAUCAACACAACUCAGUAGCUGGAGUUCAUUCAAACUUCAGGAGUCUCCCCCUGAGUAGCUUAUUUCAGGCACACUUAAGCAGGGCACAAUUUGGUGAAAAUCUUCCUCACAGUAACUAAUUCUGUAUGCAC